RNAcentral lists this ribosomal RNA (250 nucleotides) under uncultured bacterium. Its description in RNAcentral is "partial 16S ribosomal RNA". It matches the Rfam family "Bacterial small subunit ribosomal RNA", at positions 524 to 773 of the family's 1533-position model. The record is from RNAcentral.
UACGAAGGGGGCGAGCGUUGUUCGGAGUUACUGGGCGUAAAGGGCGCGUAGGCGGCGGUCCAAGUUAGGCGUGAAAGCCCCGGGCUCAACCUGGGAACAGCGCUUAAGACUGGAUUGCUUGAGUGCGGGAGAGGUGAGUGGAAUUCCCAGUGUAGAGGUGAAAUUCGUAGAUAUUGGGAAGAACACCAGUGGCGAAGGCGGCUCACUGGCCCGCAACUGACGCUGAGGCGCGAAAGCGUGGGGAGCAAAC